RNAcentral lists this ribosomal RNA (269 nucleotides) under uncultured prokaryote. Its description in RNAcentral is "partial 16S ribosomal RNA". It matches the Rfam family "Bacterial small subunit ribosomal RNA", at positions 524 to 792 of the family's 1533-position model. The record is from RNAcentral.
UACGGAGGAUCCGAGCGUUAUCCGGAUUUAUUGGGUUUAAAGGGUGCGCAGGCGGGAGAUUAAGUCGGCGGUGAAAUUUUGCAGCUCAACUGUAAAAGUGCCUUCGAAACUGGUUUCCUUGAGUGUGGAUGAGGUAGGCGGAAUUUGUGGUGUAGCGGUGAAAUGCAUAGAUAUCACGAGGAACUCCGAUUGCGCAGGCAGCUUACUAAACCAUAACUGACGCUCAGGCACGAAGGCGUGGGGAUCAAACAGGAUUAGAUACUCGCGUA